GAUGAACGCUGGCGGCGUGCCUAAUACAUGCAAGUCGAGCGAACGGACGAGACGCUUGCUUCUCUGAUGUUAGCGGCGGGCGGGUGAGUAACACGUGUAUAACCUACCUAUAAGACUGGGAUAACUUCGGGACACCGGAGCUAAUACCGUAUAAUCUUUUGCACCGCAUGGUUCAAAAGUGAAAUACGGUCUUGCUGUAACUUAUAGCUGGUUCCGCGCUGCAUGAGCUAGUUGGUAAGGUAAAGGCCUACCAAGGCAACGAGGCGUGGCCGACGUGCGGGGGGGAUAGGCCACCUGGGAGCGUGGACACGGACCAUGCUACUACGGGAGGCAGCAGUAGCCAAUGUGCCGCAAUGGUCGAAAGCAUUACGGAGCGACGGGGCGUGAGUGAUGAAGGUCUUCGGAGCGGGAAACUCGGUUACGAGGGAAGAACAUAUGUGUAAUGAACUGUGCAGAUAUUGACGGUACCGAAUAAGAAAGCCACGGCUAACUACGUG
Molecule: ribosomal RNA, 497 nt
Filed under: uncultured bacterium
Lineage: Bacteria
Description: partial 16S ribosomal RNA
Rfam family: Bacterial small subunit ribosomal RNA
Source: RNAcentral